CCAAGGAUGUUUUCAUUAAUCAAGAACGAAAGUUAGGGGAUCGAAGACGAUCAGAUACCGUCGUAGUCUUAACCAUAAACGAUGCCGACCAGCGAUUAGGAGACGUUGAAUACAAAACACCACCAUCGGUGCGGUCGUCCUUGGCGUCUCGGUUUCGGCCGGGGUGCGGGGACGGCUUAGCCCGGUGGCACCGGUGAAU
This 199-nucleotide ribosomal RNA is filed under the name Acanthamoeba sp. RNAcentral's name for it is "partial 18S ribosomal RNA". The stretch from base 1 to 157 matches the Rfam family "Eukaryotic small subunit ribosomal RNA", at positions 958 to 1116 of the family's 1831-position model. Lineage: Eukaryota; Discosea; Longamoebia; Acanthamoebidae. RNAcentral also lists the same sequence under 1 other name. The record is from RNAcentral.